GGACUACUCGGGUUUCUAAUCCUGUUUGCUCCCCACGCUUUCGCGCCUCAGCGUCAGUAUCUGUCCAGGUAGCCGCCUUCGCCACUGGUGUUCCUUCCGAUCUCUACGCAUUUCACCGCUACACCGGAAAUUCCACUACCCUCUACAGUACUCCAGAUCACCAGUCAUCGUUGCCAUUCCUAGGUUAAGCCCAGGGAUUUCACAACAAUCUUAACAAUCCGCCUACGCGCCCUUUACGCCCAGUAACUCCGAUUAACGCUCGCACCCUCUGUAUUACCGCGGCGGCUGGCAC
This 292-nucleotide ribosomal RNA is filed under the name uncultured bacterium. RNAcentral's name for it is "partial 16S ribosomal RNA". The record is from RNAcentral.